AAGCUGUUUACAAUGGUUUCCCUACUCCGCCGAACCCUCCACCAGCGGACGGGGAUGUUUGUUUAUCGGUUAGACGGCGAUCGGGUUAUGGGGUGUUUAUAAAUAUAGAGACACGGUGAACUUGGUGACUGAACGUGACGACGCGCUGGUGACGAUGGUAGAACGUUGGGUGGGUCAGGGUGAUCGAUCGCCUCUAGGGUUCUCCGAGUGCCGUGGGUGUGGAUGGAGAGGCUUUGGUUGAGGCUUUUUUCGAGGAAGAAGGCCAUGGGCCACUGUGCGCAAGCACAAAGGGGUACUUCGUGCACCAAGACCAAUACUUCCACCGCGAUAUUACAAUGGGUUUCCCAGGGACCAAACGCGUCCAUCGAUGUCCUAAGGGUUUUAUGCUGUCCGUCUCUUUUGGUCAAAGGAACUUCAAUCCUUCGAAUGCAACGAAGCACGUAGCUCGUUGGAAACAUUUGUAUUCAUCACCAUUGGCAUCGUGGAAACGAAUGAUAGACGUGUUUGUGACUUAAUGUUAGUAGUUUUCCAGCCGCAGCCAAGGCUUGCGUUUAUGCAUAUGUCGACAGAAAAAAAACUAUAGCGAUAUGUAUGAACGGUUUUUUAUAGAAAAAUCUGAGAAUGUUAAUCGUCGCAUGGUUGGAGAAUUGAUAUUACGAAUGGCGGCACUGUAAUCGCUGCGAAUAAUAAAUAAUCGCUCCAACUCCUAUCGAGCCAGAGAUCGUCAAAGUGGUUCUUCGAUGUCGUUACCAUUGACGUCAGGUAGAUUUUUAAUAGCAGAUUUUGACGAUAAUACAAUAUUAAAUGGAGAGACUCCGUUCACUUCAUUGAAGAUAUAGGACAAUGCGUUACAACCACGUCACUUGAAUAACUUGUCUAUUUUAUCAGUCUUGCUGAGGGUCAAGAGGGAUGUAAUCUAUAGGUUCUACUAUAAGGCUCCGAGUCGCGUACAGUGACCUAUAGACAAAGGUCACUCCUAGCCGUUGACCUUGUUUUCUGUGGUUCGAGGGGGCUGGCGAAUGUCACCAUCAAGAUGAAUAAUAAAUAACAUGUUUUAUAAAUAAAUAAUAUGUAUAAUAUGUGUAACAAUAUAUAAAUAAAUAUUAAAUAAAUAAUACAUCUUGCAAUAAUUAUGGUUGAAUAAAAAAUGAAUAAAUUUUUCCUAUAUUUUUUUGCUUAUCUGUUAAUAGUGUUUUAAGAAGUGUACAGCAUUCUUUGGUUAAAGGUCAUCCAAGAUAAAUUACGACGAAAAUAUGUAAUUUACACAAAAAAGAACCGAUCGAAUGGUUUCGCAUCUACUCUGGUUGUUGGUUAUAUCACUGUUGUAAUCGUUACACGAAUCGUAGAAUGUAAACAAACAUUCAAUCACGUUGAGCGCUCUACAUUUAUCUGUAUCCAUGGAUACUAUUUUUAGUCCGUGGCAUGCUACCGAGGAAAGUGCACUUAUGUAAAAUCCAAACCAAUAAAAUGCGUUAUGCGAAACGGAGAAAGUUGGUAUGGGUUUUAAUUUAUAAUAAAUGUCGUCAAAGUAUUUGAUAAUGGUGUGAUAUUAUUACGAGCCGCUUUGGAGCAUUCGUCGGCAACCGUGAGUCAAACAGGAAUUCACAGUGUCAUAACAACUGACUCACCAAUCAAAUACAAUAUAACAAAGUUAUUCUGUUCCUUUACCUUUGUAUCGAUUAUCAAUGUUUGUCUCCAACACUACCAAAAAUAAUUUAAAAUUUGAUAUUCCAGCUUUCAUCGAUUUUAUUUUAGUAACUUUAAUUUUAAUAUUCCCAGAUUCUCUUCAGAAGAAACAGUUUCAUGUAACCCAUAAUAUCACUUCAGAAACAAUAAUAUUUCCUUGAUAUUCACGUUAUUAUUAUCUUCUUGAAACAAUAAUUUCCCCGCAACUUUUAUCUCAUCCCUCUUCUACAGACGAAAGAGACGUUUCGAACUCUUCAUUUUCGUUCCCCCUUUGUUCUCCAAUUGUCAUUCCAGCAUUCUGGGGCCGGAUCGUUGCUCGUGAUUCGUCGUUUCACAAAGGAACGGUGACUGCAAAGUUUCCACGAGUAUUCUUGAAACACGACCUGUUCCUAGUUGUUCCAUUGCUAAAACCAGCACGGCCAGAAUUUUAUCUGAGAUCCUCAAGGCGUACAGGUUUUAAAGAAAUGGAAACGAGAGAGAAGUCGUCGUGAAUAACGAGUGGCCGCUUUUUCCAAAAUUUUCCAUUCUCCUUUCCAGUGGCUCUCGAAGGACACCGAUUACACAACGACGAUAAAUGGGAGGGCGAACAAUUACGAUCGCAUUGGUUGGUAAACAGAAGCGUUUA
Molecule: long non-coding RNA, 2311 nt
Organism: Hylaeus anthracinus
Lineage: Eukaryota; Metazoa; Arthropoda; Insecta; Hymenoptera; Colletidae
Exons: 4
Source: RefSeq, a predicted model, not a curated record